GAGUAUUUUAUACCGCAUAUCCCCUAGGGGGGAAAGCAGGGGUAUUUUGGGACCUUGCUCUAUUGGAGCGGCCGAUAUGGGAUUAGCUAGUUGGUGGGGUAACGGCUCCCCAAGGCGACGAUCUGUAGGUGGUUUGAGAGGACGCCCACCCACACUGGGUGUGAGACGCGCCCCAGUCUCCUAGGGGAGGCAGCAGGGGGGAAUUUUGGACAAUGGGGGAAACCCUGAUCCAGCCAUCCCGCGUGUGAAAUGAAGGCCUUCGGGUUGUAAAGCACUUUUGGCAGGAAAGAAACGUCUAGGGCUAAUCCCCCGAGAAACGGACGGUACCUGCAGAAUAACCCCCGGCUAAUUACGUCCCACCACCCGCGGUAAUCCGUAGGGUGCAAGCGUUAAUCGGAAUUACUGGGCGUAAAGCGUGCGCAGGCGGUUCGGAAAGAAAGAUGUGAAAUCCCAGAGCUUAACUUGGGAAUUCCAUUUUUAACUGCCGGGUUAGAGUGUGUCAGAGGGAGGUGGAAUUCCGGGUGUAGCAGUGAAAUGGGUAGAUUUGCGGAGGAACCCCGAUGGCGAAGCCACCCUCCUGGGAUAACACUGACGCUCAUGCACGAAACCGUGGGGACCAACCAGGAUUAGAUCCCCUGGUAGUCCACCCCUUAAACGAUUCAAUUACCUGUUGGGCCCUUCGGGCCUAGUAGCGCAGCUAACGCG
This 705-nucleotide ribosomal RNA is filed under the name uncultured bacterium. Its description in RNAcentral is "bacterial SSU rRNA". It matches the Rfam family "Bacterial small subunit ribosomal RNA", at positions 157 to 859 of the family's 1533-position model. The record is from RNAcentral.